RNAcentral lists this ribosomal RNA (469 nucleotides) under uncultured bacterium. Its description in RNAcentral is "partial 16S ribosomal RNA". It matches the Rfam family "Bacterial small subunit ribosomal RNA", at positions 28 to 507 of the family's 1533-position model. The record is from RNAcentral.
GACGAACGCUGGCGGCGUGCUUAACACAUGCAAGUCGAACGGAAAGGCCCUGCUUGCAGGGUGCUCGAGUGGCGAACGGGUGAGUAACACGUGGGUGAUCUGCCCCUUACUUUGGGAUAAGCCUGGGAAACUGGGUCUAAUACUGGAUAGGACCAUGCUGUAGGUGGUGUGGUGGAAAGAUUAGUUUCGGUAAGGGAUGAGCUCGCGGCCUAUCAGCUUGUUGGUGGGGUAAUGGCCUACCAAGGCGUCGACGGGUAGCCGGCCUGAGAGGGUGGACGGCCACAUUGGGACUGAGAUACGGCGCAGACGCCUACGGGAGGCAGCAGUGGGGAAUAUUGCACAAUGGGCGCAAGCCUGAUGCAGCGACGCCGCGUGGGGGAUGACGGCCUUCGGGUUGUAAACUCCUUUCGGCCAUGACGAAGCCCUUGUGGUGACGGUAGUGGUAGAAGAAGCACCGGCUAACUACGUG